RNAcentral lists this ribosomal RNA (469 nucleotides) under uncultured bacterium. RNAcentral describes it as "partial 16S ribosomal RNA". It matches the Rfam family "Bacterial small subunit ribosomal RNA", at positions 28 to 507 of the family's 1533-position model. The record is from RNAcentral.
GACGAACGCUGGCGGCGUGCUUAACACAUGCAAGUCGAACGGAAAGGCCCUGCUUUUGUGGGGUGCUCGAGUGGCGAACGGGUAAGUAACACGUGAGUAACCUGCCCUUGACUUUGGGAUAACUUCAGGAAACUGGGGCUAAUACCGGAUAGGAGCUCCUGCUGCAUGGUGGGGGUUGGAAAGUUUCGGCGGUUGGGGAUGGACUCGCGGCUUAUCAGCUUGUUGGUGGGGUAGUUGCUUACCAAGGCUUUGACGGGUAGCCGGCCUGAGAGGGUGACCGGCCACAUUGGGACUUGGAUUCGGCCCAGACUCCUACGGGGGGCAGCAGGGGGGAAUAUUGGACAAUGGGCGGAAGCCUGAUGCAGCAACGCCGCGGGCGGGAAGACGGCCUUCGGGUUGUAAACCGCUUUCAGCAUGGGCGAAGCUUGUGGUGACGGUACCUGCAGAAGAAGCACCGGCUAACUACGUG